Molecule: long non-coding RNA, 2241 nt
Organism: Cyprinus carpio carpio
Lineage: Eukaryota; Metazoa; Chordata; Actinopteri; Cypriniformes; Cyprinidae
Source: Ensembl
CCAUUUAAUUACCGCAAUAAAAGUAAAGCAAGAACCCCUUCUCUGGCCUCGCCGUGACAGAGUCCUGGUCUCUCUGUCAGUCAUGUUUGUUGCGAGGGGAGUGAUGAUGCUAAUUAUGAGUGUGAUGCAUCCACAGGAUAUUGCAGCCAUGGUGCUUAGUUGGCAGUGUGGACAGGUGGCAUCUCAUGCAUAUUCAUGGACCAGCCCUCGUUCGCUGACAGCACCGGUAUGACAGAGAAAUGGUUGCUGGCUUACAGAAAGAAAGUGCAGAAAGCAUUGACAUGCAGCGUGCAUCAACAAUUUGACCCCAACCCACUGAGGUCACAAAACAAGUCGAUGCUUUCCUGCUCUGGCUUUUUCCUGAUGCCUGAAAUGUUUAGUUUGACUCAACUGCUUUUGAGAGAAACCGCAGAACUCUGGAUAUAACAAACAUAUGCUAAAAGUGCCUGGAUGUUUUUAAUAUACGAAUGAUGAGUCUUACCUUUAAGGCUUUGCUUUGUUUCCUUCCUUAAGGAGAGGGGUGAAAAUGGAGAGCAUUUGUCAUGUAGCAUGUGUUUUAAAACUCAUUUUAAUUUAUUUUGAGGCUAAAUUAAAUGUUCGUUUUAUUUCCAUUUUUAUUGUUAUUAUUUUUGUAUUUUGUCUGUUUGUUUGUUUUUGUUGUACAGUACUUUGUUUAAUUCAAUGUAAAUGUAAAUCCAAACUAAAAAAAAAUAAAAAAUAUGGGCUGGUAAAAACAGGGCAAGGAUCGAAAAUUAACUUUUUGCCAGACCUGCCAAUGUUGAGUAAAUGAAUAAAAAUAUACAAAUAUUCACUGACAAAGAAACUGGAUUUUGCAUUAUUAGAUUUUAUUAUUAUAUUUUUCUUUAUGACAACAGAAUUAUUGUAAUAUUGCAUAUUAGUGACAAACAGUGUAGGCAUUAAGAUGAUUUGACAAGAUUUUGCUAAUAAUAUAUUCAAUUUGUUGGCUUAAUUCCAGAAAUAUUGUGCAUAUGUGUCACCACAUGGAGUUUUGGCGAAAACAAGCAAACAAAAAGAUUACAUUAGACAUUAAUUCAGGCAUCAUGGUUAAAUAUAAAAAGUGAAAAAUGUAUUUAUUUAUAUAACAGGUUUUUACAUAUACUUUGAUAGCCGAAAAAGGUAAACUUAAUGUAAAUGUGCAAAGAAAAUAUUCUCCAGAUGAUAUUGUGUUAAUAUGCAUUGAAUUUAGCACAGUGACAAUAUAGAGCUAAUUAUUUAAUUUUUGGGAACAGCAUGGUAUUUUUAGGACCCUGCAAUGGACUGGGCAUCCGUUCAGGUGUACCCUGUCUGUGGCCCAAGAUGGAGAGGCUCCAGCCCCCUGCGAACCUGCAGAAGAUAAGCGGAGAGUAAAUCUUGAAGUCAGCAUUACACAGUGAAACAGGAUUUGUGGGGAAUUUGAAUCACUUACAGAUCAAUAUACAUUCUCAGCAGUCCUGCCUUCAGGAAUGAAUGCACAUGGUACACAUUAUGCCCUCAGAGACCCACCUAUAACAUGUUUCUCCAAACAGAAACCAACCACCUUCACUGAUCCUCUUGUGUUGAAUUCUAACCACAUUAAACAAUUACUGGGCCUCAUUAUGUCUGCAAAUGAAUGGCACAGAGAAGCAUCUGAGAACAGCUCAUCAUUUUUAAAGAACUUCAAAAGGAUGGGGUUACCUUCUGGCUCGGUGGAAAACUUUGAUGUCUCCACGUCCCAUCAGUGAUGCGCUUCUUUCAUGUUACAGAGGCAGUUUAUUGAUUUUAGAUAAACCAAAUGAGACCAUUAAUUAAAUCAGGCUUCAUACUCCCUGACAUCUGUGUUGCAUCAUUGAAUAUCACCAGCACCCAGGUACUGUUGUUCUUGUAAUAACGUAUGGGCUUUCUCAAUGAACAUGACAUUAGACACACCAGACUGUGCAUUUUGGGGUAUAUGCAUAAAUCCUUUAUCGUAAACCUAACUAUGGAGCAUGUAGACAUACUUGUCAUUAUGUACUAGGUAUUUGGUACAACACAGAUCCUCCCUGGAUCAGGACGUAGCUCCAAACUAGAUGAAAGAGCCAAGAGGAAACUGGUCAGGGAGAAUACCAAGAGGCCUACAGCAACGCUGAAGCAGUUGCAGGAAUUUAUGACAAAGAGUGGUCAUUGUGUGCAUGUGACAACAAUAUCAUAAAUUUUCCACAAAUGUGACUUGUAUGGAAGCAUUGCAAGAAAAAGCCAUUCCUCAAGAAAGGCCUCAUGCAGUCU